GACGAACGCUGGCGGCGUGCUUAAUACAUGCAAGUCGAACGGAAAGGCCCUGCUUUUGUGGGGUGCUCGAGUGGCGAACGGGUGAGUAACACGUGAGUAACCUGCCCUUGACUUUGGGAUAACUUCAGGAAACUGGGGCUAAUACCGGAUAGGAGCUCCUGCUGCAUGGUGGGGGUUGGAAAGUUUCGGUGGUUGGGGAUGGACUCGCGGCUUAUCAGCUUGUUUGUGGGGUAGUGGCAUACCAAGGCUUCGACGGGUAGCCGGCCUGAGAGCGUUACCGGGCACAUUGGGACUGAGAUACGGACCAGAAGGCUACGGGAGGCAGCAGUGGAAAAUAUUGCAGAAUGGGGGGGAGCGUGAGGCAGAAACGCCGCGAGCGGGAUGACGGGCUUCGAGUUAUAAACAGCUGUGGACUGUGACGAAGCGUGCGUGACGGUAACGGGUAAAGAAGCACCGGCUAACUACGUG
Molecule: ribosomal RNA, 468 nt
Filed under: uncultured bacterium
Lineage: Bacteria
Description: partial 16S ribosomal RNA
Rfam family: Bacterial small subunit ribosomal RNA
Source: RNAcentral